GACGAACGCUGGCGGCGUGCUUAACACAUGCAAGUCGAGCGGUAAGGCCCUUCGGGGUACACGAGCGGCGAACGGGUGAGUAACACGUGGGUGACCUGCCUCUAGCUCUGGGAUAAGCCUGGGAAACUGGGUCUAAUACCGGAUAUGACUCCACGGCGCAUGUUGUGGGGUGGAAAGCCUUGUGUGGCUAGAGAUGGGCCCGCGGCCUAUCAGCUUGUUGGUGGGGUGAUGGCCUACCAAGGCGACGACGGGUAGCCGGCCUGAGAGGCGACCGGCCACACUGGGACUGAGACACGGCCCAGACUCCUACGGGAGGCAGCAGUGGGGAAUCUUGCGCAAUGGGCGAAAGCCUGACGCAGCGACGCCGCGUGAGGGAUGACGGCCUCGG
This 388-nucleotide ribosomal RNA is filed under the name uncultured bacterium. RNAcentral describes it as "bacterial SSU rRNA". It matches the Rfam family "Bacterial small subunit ribosomal RNA", at positions 28 to 420 of the family's 1533-position model. The record is from RNAcentral.